This 255-nucleotide non-coding RNA is filed under the name Yersinia pestis Angola. Lineage: Bacteria; Pseudomonadati; Pseudomonadota; Gammaproteobacteria; Enterobacterales; Yersiniaceae. RNAcentral also lists the same sequence under 11 other names. The record is from RNAcentral.
AUACAAGGAAUGUAAUGGAUGUACGGGAGCCAAGGAUGCUAUAAACGGAGCUAAUGUAAAGGGAUGUUCAGGACACUGGCCGGAGCGCCGGGCGAAUCGCCUUCAGGGUUUGAGGGGUGGCAAGGAUCGCGUAUUGCAGGAGGGAGAAACCGGGACGUUAUCUAAGUGCAGGGAGUGCGCUGUAAGGAUAUCCUUCCGCAGAAGGUGCGAAAAAAGGCGACAGGUUAACCUGCCGCCUUUUUUCUUUCUCUUCUU